UACGUAGGGUGCAAGCGUUGUCCGGAAUUAUUGGGCGUAAAGAGCUCGUAGGCGGUUUGUCGCGUCGGCUGUGAAAACCUGGGGCUUAACUCCGGGCCUGCAGCCGAUACGGGCAGCUAGAGUUCGGCAGGGGAGACUGGAAUUCCGUGGUGUAGCGGUGAAAUGCGCAGAUAAUCAGGAGGAACACCGGUGGCGAAGGCGGGUCUCUGGGGCCGAUACUGACGCUGAGGAGCGAAAGCGUGGGGAGCAAACAGG
RNAcentral lists this ribosomal RNA (255 nucleotides) under uncultured bacterium. Its description in RNAcentral is "partial 16S ribosomal RNA". It matches the Rfam family "Bacterial small subunit ribosomal RNA", at positions 524 to 776 of the family's 1533-position model. The record is from RNAcentral.